Molecule: unclassified non-coding RNA, 2427 nt
Filed under: Hevea brasiliensis (rubber tree)
Lineage: Eukaryota; Viridiplantae; Streptophyta; Magnoliopsida; Malpighiales; Euphorbiaceae
Source: RNAcentral
AAAAAAGUAUACUAAAAAGAAAAAAUAUAGACAUAACGUGAUUAUUAUGGUUUUGACCGUAAUGGUAAAAUAGAAUAAAACUAAGAAAGGAAAUUUGGAAUGAUGGUGUGAGGUCACAAUUGAUACUUGAGUGGAGUGGCACUGGCAAAAGAAAGUUUGUAAGUGUUAAUACGAAAGUAAGCAAUGGAGUCAGGUGAGAGGUGGCAAGAAAGAGAGGAGAAGGGAAGGAGCGGAGGAGUAGGUUUGUCCACUAGUAGUAAAGAAUGGCUCAAAAUGAAGCCUUUGGUCAAACUUAGGAUUUGUUUGGCAAUAUUAGUUGUUAUGGUAGCUAUUAGCUGUUUUAGUAAUUAUUAGCUGUUUUACUAGUUGUUCGUUGUUAGUGUUUAGUUGUUUUACUAGUUGUUCAUUGUUUAUAUAGUGGUUUAAAUAUAAAAAUAGUGAUAUCAUCUUUUUUACUAUAGUCAAAAUACUCUCUCAACCUUUAAAGUUAGAAGGGGUGGUAACGUUCUAUGAAUUACUCACUCAUCCCUUAAAUACUUGUAUAAAUAUUAUGCAGCCAAAUGAUAUAAAUAAGAAAGAGCGCUGACACUCAUUGUUGAUAAGGCAAAAUUAGUUAAGAGGAGUUAAAAUACUGAACGUUACCUUAAAAGCUAUUACUGAACAUGGCCUUGAAAGCCAUGUCAAAUCUUCACGUGCUCUAUCGUGCAUGUAUAGACAUUCAUUGCUGAUAGGUAAAAUUGUGUUUAUUGUUAUGGAAUUUACAAGUUUAACGUGUACUAGGCUUCUUGAAAAGUUUAGGGGUAUGAUAGGUUAAAUCGAAUAAAUUUGGAGUUGCAAAUAUGCAUUUGGUGAAAUGUCAGCUAAUGGCUACUGAACUUAAAUCAAUUUUAAUACUUAAAUAAAGGUAAUUGUCCAUGUAUAUAUGUUGUUUUCUUAAAAGAUUAAAGAGUCCUUUGGUUGAGCUAUCAAUUGAUAGCUAAUAAAAGUUAAUCAUUUAAUAAAGCUUUGCUAUCUAUUGUUGUUGAUAUAUGAGAUUACCAAUUUAACAUUAAAAGGCACAAUUGUGAUGAAAAAUAAAAAAUGAUAACCUAUACAAAACACAAUUCUGGUUUGGGUUUUUAACUGCUCUUUGUCUGUGUGUUGCUAUAGGGGUUGCAUCUCUUUUGUUGCAUAGGGGUUGCAUCUCUUUUGUCUCUUUGCCAUGCUGAAUUCCUAGCUUCUUUACAUAAUAAAAUUAUUUUUUUGCUCGUACAAAAAAAAGACGGCAGUUAUUCUGAACAUUUUUACUAGCGUAGUAGUUAUUUUAAACAUUUCUUAUAAUAUUUUACUGACUACUUAUUCUGCAAAUUAUAAAUAUUGUGAAGCACCUGAGAAAUUAUUUUGGAAAAAGGAAGAAAUUUAUUAUUGUUUUAAUAAGGAUUUGUUAGUCCAAAUAUAAAUAUUGAAGAAUUUUUUUUUUUUGAAUUGGUUAAGAACACAAGCAUGCACACAGAACAGGAAGCCACACCUCCUCUGAUAAAAUCAUGACAAUUUUGUCAAAAUAUGCUAAGCCUUAUAUCCUCUACAUAUUCGCAGUCCACAAAUAUAAAUAUUGAAUAAAUUAUUAGUUGGCAGGAAAUGUUUCAAAAUGAAAAUUUUUAUAUUUAGCAACUAUUUAGUGUUUUGUGUAGGAUUAGUAGUCUAGUAGUCGAGUGCCUAAUUCAUAGUGCAAGAGAUUAGGGUUCCAACCUUGACAAUCUCCAACCCUAAUUUAAUUUUCUUUUUUUAAUGGUCUACUGCUGCUGCUCCUAGGGUGUUAAAUUCAGUUUCCUUCCUCAAUUUUUCUAAUUUUCUCACUUUCUUAGGAAAAGCAGAGUAAAGAAGGAGAAAAAAAUAACCAACCUUGGACACCAAAACUAAUCUCAGUUACAUUCCCUCUAGAUGGUGGAUUUAAUGAGAGAAACUGAGGUGGAAACCUGAGUGUUGGGAUUACUUGCAAGAGUCCUCAACGCCUUUGGCCAUUCUCCCUUAUAAUGAGAUCCAAUUCACUACUCCAUUGAUUGCAAUUGUGGACAUGCGUAUUCAUCCAAGUAGUGCAUUAUCAAAAAUUAUAAAGCAGUCUAUCGAUUUCCGUAUGCUGGUGGAAGAAUCCGUUCAUUCCCUCCAAUAUUGAAAGCUGGAGUAAAAUCAACCAGUGUGUUGGUAUCAGAGACUCAAUUGACCCAAAUUAAAUGUUAUGAUAGAUUAAUUGCUUGCCCAAAGGUUGUGUUUAGAUUCAUGUAUUUGGAUUUGGAUUUUGAAUUUUAAAUAUUUGAUUUAAAAUUUAGAAUUUAAAGUUCAUAAAUUUACAAAAUAUCUUAUUCGGCUAAUAAAAAAUUUAAUUUUUAAAUUUAAAAUGGAGGUCUGUAUUCAAUAGAAAAAAUUUAUUAGGUAGAAUUGGAAUUAUAA